This 1201-nucleotide ribosomal RNA is filed under the name Cherry proliferation phytoplasma. RNAcentral's name for it is "bacterial SSU rRNA". It matches the Rfam family "Bacterial small subunit ribosomal RNA", at positions 173 to 1374 of the family's 1533-position model. Lineage: Bacteria; Bacillati; Mycoplasmatota; Mollicutes; Acholeplasmatales; Acholeplasmataceae. The record is from RNAcentral.
AUAGGAGACAAGAGGGCAUCUUCUUGUUUUUAAAAGACCUAGCAAUAGGUAUGCUUAGGGAGGAGCUUGCGUCACAUUAGUUAGUUGGUGGGGUAAAGGCCUAACAAGACUAUGAUGUGUAGCCGGGCUGAGAGGUUGAACGGCCACAUUGGGACUGAGACACGGCCCAAACUCCUACGGGAGGCAGCAGUAGGGAGUUUUCGGCAAUGGAGGAAACUCUGACCGAGCAACGCCGCGUGAACGAUGAAGUAUUUCGGUACGUAAAGUUCUUUUAUUAGGGAAGAAUAAAUGAUGGAAAAAUCAUUCUGACGGUACCUAAUGAAUAAGCCCCGGCUAACUAUGUGCCAGCAGCCGCGGUAAUACAUAGGGGGCAAGCGUUAUCCGGAAUUAUUGGGCGUAAAGGGUGCGUAGACGGUUAAAUAAGUUUAUGGUCUAAGUGCAAUGCUCAACAUUGUGAUGCUAUAAAAACUGUUUAGCUAGAGUAAGAUAGAGGCAAGUGGAAUUCCAUGUGUAGUGGUAAAAUGCGUAAAUAUAUGGAGGAACACCAGUAGCGAAGGCGGCUUGCUGGGUCUUUACUGACGCUGAGGCACGAAAGCGUGGGGAGCAAACAGGAUUAGAUACCCUGGUAGUCCACGCCGUAAACGAUGAGUACUAAACGUUGGGUAAAACCAGUGUUGAAGUUAACACAUUAAGUACUCCGCCUGAGUAGUACGUACGCAAGUAUGAAACUUAAAGGAAUUGACGGGACUCCGCACAAGCGGUGGAUCAUGUUGUUUAAUUCGAAGGUACCCGAAAAACCUCACCAGGUCUUGACAUGCUUCUGCAGAGCUGUAGAAACACAGUGGAGGUUAUCAGUUGCACAGGUGGUGCAUGGUUGUCGUCAGCUCGUGUCGUGAGAUGUUGGGUUAAGUCCCGCAACGAGCGCAACCCUUAUUGUUAGUUACCAGCACGUAAUGGUGGGGACUUUAGCAAGACUGCCAGUGAUAAAUUGGAGGAAGGUGGGGACGACGUCAAAUCAUCAUGCCCCUUAUGACCUGGGCUACAAACGUGAUACAAUGGCUGUUACAAAGGGUAGCUGAAGCGCAAGUUUUUGGCGAAUCUCAAAAAAACAGUCUCAGUUCGGAUUGAAGUCUGCAACUCGACUUCAUGAAGUUGGAAUCGCUAGUAAUCGCGAAUCAGCAUGUCGCGGUGAAUACGUUCA